Molecule: long non-coding RNA, 347 nt
Filed under: Daucus carota (carrot)
Lineage: Eukaryota; Viridiplantae; Streptophyta; Magnoliopsida; Apiales; Apiaceae
Description: long non-coding RNA (DCAR_LNC002133)
Source: RNAcentral
GAAGAUGUGAUUGUAUAUAUCAUAUGUGUUACACACAUGUCCUUUAUAUAAGAUUACAAAAUCAGUUAUAAGUAAACCAAAGGUCUAGUUAGUGAAAAGCCAAAGGUUUGGCUAGUGAAAAGCCAAAGGACAUCCACAUAAAUAUAUUAUUUAUAACACUCCCCCUUGGAUGUCCGUCAAACGAAAUAAUGUCUCGUUAUAGCCUUCUUGGAAAAACCCUGUGGGAUAAAAACCAAGCGAAGGAACAAAAAUAUCUAUUUCAUAAUGUGCACGUGAUGCUGCCUCGUUAAAAACCUUUCCAGGAAAACCCAGUGGGAAAAACCAUGGAUAAGGAAAAAAGAGUGCAG